CCAAGGCGAUUACGGGUAGCCGGCCUGAGAGGGCGACCGGCCACACUGGGACUGAGACACGGCCCAGACUCCUGCGGGAGGCAGCAGUGGGGAAUAUUGCGCAAUGGGCGAAAGCCUGACGCAGCGACGCCGCGUGGGGGAUGACGGCCUUCGGGUUGUAAACCUCUUUUACCACCAACGCAGGCCCGGAGUUCUCUUCGGGUUGACGGUAGGUGGGGAAUAAGGACCGGCUAACUACGUGCCAGCAGCCGCGGUAAUACGUAGGGUCCGAGCGUUGUCCGGAAUUAUUGGGCGUAAAGAGCUCGUAGGCGGUGUGUCGCGUCGGUCGUGAAAACUUGGGGCUCAACCCCGAGCUUGCGGUCGAUACGGGCAUCACUGGAGUUCGGCAGGGGAGACUGGAAUUCCUGGUGUAGCGGUGAAAUGCGCAGAUAUCAGGAGGAACACCGGUGGCGAAGGCGGGUCUCUGGGCCGAUACUGACGCUGAGGAGCGAAAGCGUGGGGAGCGAACAGGAUUAGAUACCCUGGUAGUCCACGCCGUAAACGGUGGGCGCUAGGUGU
This 558-nucleotide ribosomal RNA is filed under the name uncultured Nocardiopsis sp. Its description in RNAcentral is "bacterial SSU rRNA". It matches the Rfam family "Bacterial small subunit ribosomal RNA", at positions 268 to 823 of the family's 1533-position model. The record is from RNAcentral. Lineage: Bacteria; Bacillati; Actinomycetota; Actinomycetes; Streptosporangiales; Nocardiopsidaceae.